RNAcentral lists this unclassified non-coding RNA (327 nucleotides) under uncultured Ascomycota. RNAcentral's name for it is "partial contains 5.8S ribosomal RNA, internal transcribed spacer 2, and large subunit ribosomal RNA". The stretch from base 1 to 102 matches the Rfam family "5.8S ribosomal RNA", at positions 53 to 154 of the family's 154-position model. Lineage: Eukaryota; Fungi; Ascomycota. The record is from RNAcentral.
AUGCGAUAAGUAGUGUGAAUUGCAGAAUUCCGUGAAUCAUCGAAUCUUUGAACGCACAUUGCGCCUCCUGGCAUCCCGGGAGGCAUGCCCGUUCGAGCGUCAUCAAAGCCCCCUCAAGCCUCUUUGCUUGGUCGUGGGAUCGGGGCCCCCGCCGCUUCGCGGGGCCCCCUCCCGAAUGUCAUGGAGCGGUGCCCGCGCUGGGACGUCGGAAGUAAUAAUAAGCACAAUUUCCUCCGACCGAGCCCGGCCGAAAGGUUCCCGCCCGCCGAACCCCCAAUCAUCUACAAGGCAUGACCUCGGAUGGGUAGGGAUACCCGCUGAACUUAA